Molecule: transfer RNA, 76 nt
Filed under: Candidatus Latescibacterota bacterium
Lineage: Bacteria; Pseudomonadati; Candidatus Latescibacterota
Description: tRNA-Thr
Rfam family: tRNA
About the family: Transfer RNA (tRNA) molecules are approximately 80 nucleotides in length. Their secondary structure includes four short double-helical elements and three loops (D, anti-codon, and T loops).
Source: RNAcentral
GCCGCUUUAGCUCAAUUGGUAGAGCACCUGAUUUGUAAUCAGGCGGUUGUGGGUUCGAUUCCCAUGGGCGGCUCCA